Perognathus longimembris pacificus (Pacific pocket mouse) is the source of this 150-nucleotide long non-coding RNA. RefSeq lists it as uncharacterized. The transcript has 3 exons. The record is from RefSeq and is a predicted model, not a curated record. Lineage: Eukaryota; Metazoa; Chordata; Mammalia; Rodentia; Heteromyidae.
CCACACCAGUGCCAGGACACUGCCCGCACCAGCUGGGUCAGAGAACACAAGGUACCUGUGGCUGUGGUUAAAUUUCUGCACCAGCCGCCCGCCAUCGGCAAGCCGAAUUUGGAUGUUUGUGGUGGGCUCUGACUCGUUGAUUGAAAUGGA